Molecule: small RNA, 29 nt
Filed under: Bombyx mori (domestic silkworm)
Lineage: Eukaryota; Metazoa; Arthropoda; Insecta; Lepidoptera; Bombycidae
Description: ovarian small RNA-16312
Source: RNAcentral
GCACCGUUAAUGGAUCAGGAGGAUCCGUA